RNAcentral lists this long non-coding RNA (359 nucleotides) under Apteryx rowi (Okarito brown kiwi). RNAcentral describes it as "lncRNA (ENSARWG00000005391.1)". The record is from RNAcentral. Lineage: Eukaryota; Metazoa; Chordata; Aves; Apterygiformes; Apterygidae.
CGCUGGGAUCAUCCCUGGCAUUUGAGGAAGUAAAUCCUAUGAGGAGAGACUGAGCCAAAGCCACUGCAGGAUGCUUAUGGCCCUGUCUUGGGAUGUGGGAAAGCUGGAAUCAUGGCCUUGCUUCGAAUCAAGAGGAACGGGGAUUUGAGAACUGGGCUCUUGUUUCCAAGCGUUCAUUUCUGCACUGACAUUUGCAUUUUCAUGGACGAGUAAUUUGGAGGGAGAGUGCACACUAAAAAGGUAAGACUACAGAAUAGUGUCUGUUUAGUUUUGGGAAGGCUCUAGCCCGUGUUUAAGUGGAUGUUCCUUCUACGUAUUUCUAAGGGUAGAAUCUGAAUCCAUUGAAGAGCAGAUCUUUG